UUGAGGUUUGUUUGUAAUAAAUGAGUUGGGAAUCUUUUGUUCUGUUUCUAAUUAAGGUCAUGGCUAUUUGAAUUAAUAUAUUUAACAUCAUUUAGUGUUGGCAGUAAGCCAGUUUACAAUUCUAUGAACCAUUGUCAAAUAUGAGUUGAUGUUUUUCAUUGUCUAUGCUUUUUAUUGAAUUUGACUUUUAUAUUUGGUACUUAACUAAUUUAUUUAUUGGUUCUUUGUCUUCACUUUUCCUGCAACUCAUCUAUUAACUAAUGGCUACUAAGGGACCAAGUUCCAAGCUUGAG
RNAcentral lists this long non-coding RNA (293 nucleotides) under Durio zibethinus. RNAcentral describes it as "long non-coding RNA (DZIB_LNC001771)". The record is from RNAcentral. Lineage: Eukaryota; Viridiplantae; Streptophyta; Magnoliopsida; Malvales; Malvaceae.